CGGAAAGUCGGGAUUUUCCAAUCUGGCAACGCCGUAAUCGGCCAUUUUAGAUUUCAUUAAUUUUUCCCUGUGUAAAUUCCCAUAAGGAAUCGGGGUACCUUUAGUUUAAAUUAAUUUUUUAAUUAUUGGUGUCUUACAGCCAAUUUAUUUUUCAUCGAUCGUGUUCCCCGAUUAAUGGGUUGUUUUGAUUCUGGAAUGUCAAAACAGACAUGUUAUGUGCUUGCCUACGGUGCUGUAACUUUUGCUUCUCAAAAGUGAAUGUUAAUGGACAUCUAGAAUAUGGGGUUUCAAAAAGUAGGAGACAGGUAUAUGGCUGCUGAAAAGAACAAAUUCGAGAGAAAAAGGUUUAUAAAAAUAUACAGCAGAGUAUGCAGUCAAGAUUUUACUUCUGCACCAACAUCUAAUAAUGAGCAAAAUUCCAUUGGGAUUGCUACUGUUGAAAGAAUUAGUCGCUCUCUAUAAGAAGGCAGAUUGCUGGGACAUGUUCAACGAUACACACAUUCCACAAGACACAGUUACUGAUUUCAUGAAAGAUACAACUGUACCUGAGGGUACAAUGCAGAACACGUUUGAUGAACACAUCAACACAUUGGUGAAUCAACUAACAAUCAGAAUUCAUCUUCCUGCAAAACAGUCAUUGGUUCUUCGAAUAAAAAAUAUUGAAAAAUGAGAAAUAAUUACUAGUUGAAGCAGUGUCACGUCACGUCUUCAGUAUUUUUAUUAAAAACUUUAUUUCAUGUUUAAUACAAUGUUUCACUCGA
RNAcentral lists this long non-coding RNA (761 nucleotides) under Daphnia pulex (common water flea). Its description in RNAcentral is "uncharacterized LOC124202610". Lineage: Eukaryota; Metazoa; Arthropoda; Branchiopoda; Diplostraca; Daphniidae. The record is from RNAcentral.